This 253-nucleotide ribosomal RNA is filed under the name uncultured bacterium. Its description in RNAcentral is "partial 16S ribosomal RNA". It matches the Rfam family "Bacterial small subunit ribosomal RNA", at positions 524 to 776 of the family's 1533-position model. The record is from RNAcentral.
GACGAGCCUCACAAACGUUAUUCGGAAUUACUGGGCUUAAAGGGUGCGUAGGCGGUGCGGAAAGUUGGGUGUGAAAUCCCUCGGCUUAACCGAGGAAUUGCGCUCAAAACUACCGUGCUCGAGGGAGAUAGAGGAAUGCGGAACUUACGGUGGAGCGGUGAAAUGCGUUGAUAUCGGAAAGAACACCAACGGCGAAAGCACUCUGCUGGGCCGACACUGACACUGAGAGACGAAAGCUAGGGGAGCGAAUGGG